GGGUUGUGAGGUUAAGCGACUAAGCGUACACGGUGGAUGCCCUGGCAGUCAGAGGCGAUGAAGGACGUGCUAAUCUGCGAAAAGCGUCGGUAAGGUGAUAUGAACCGUUAUAACCGGCGAUGUCCGAAUGGGGAAACCCAGUGCAAUUCGUUGCACUAUCGUUAACUGAAUACAUAGGUUAACGAGGCGAACCGGGGGAACUGAAACAUCUAAGUACCCCGAGGAAAAGAAAUCAACCGAGAUUCCCCCAGUAGCGGCGAGCGAACGGGGAGCAGCCCAGAGUCUGAAUCAGCUUGUGUGUUAGUGGAACGGUCUGGAAAGUCCGACGGUACAGGGUGAUAGUCCCGUACACCAAAAUGCACAGGCUGUGAACUCGAAGAGUAGGGCGGGACACGUGGUAUCCUGUCUGAAUAUGGGGGGACCAUCCUCCAAGGCUAAAUACUCCUGACUGACCGAUAGUGAACCAGUACCGUGAGGGAAAGGCGAAAAGAACCCCGGCGAGGGGAGUGAAAAAGAACCUGAAACCGUGUACGUACAAGCAGUGGGAGCACCUUCGGGUGUGACUGCGUACCUUUUGUAUAAUGGGUCAGCGACUUAUAUUCUGUAGCAAGGUUAACCGUAUAGGGGAGCCGCAGGGAAACCGAGUCUUAACUGGGCGUUAAGUUGCAGGGUAUAGACCCGAAACCCGGUGAUCUAGCCAUGGGCAGGUUGAAGGUUGGGUAACACUAACUGGAGGACCGAACCGACUAAUGUUGAAAAAUUAGCGGAUGACUUGUGGCUGGGGGUGAAAGGCCAAUCAAACCGGGAGAUAGCUGGUUCUCCCCGAAAGCUAUUUAGGUAGCGCCUCGUGAACUCAUCUUCGGGGGUAGAGCACUGUUUCGGCUAGGGGGUCAUCCCGACUUACCAACCCGAUGCAAACUACGAAUACCGAAGAAUGUUAUCACGGGAGACACACGGCGGGUGCUAACGUCCGUCGUGAAGAGGGAAACAACCCAGACCGCCAGCUAAGGUCCCAAAGUCAUGGUUAAGUGGGAAACGAUGUGGGAAGGCACAGACAGCCAGGAUGUUGGCUUAGAAGCAGCCAUCAUUUAAAGAAAGCGUAAUAGCUCACUGGUCGAGUCGGCCUGCGCGGAAGAUGUAACGGGGCUAAACCAUGCACCGAAGCUGCGGCAGCGACACUAUGUGUUGUUGGGUAGGGGAGCGUUCUGUAAGCCUGCGAAGGUGUGCUGUGAGGCAUGCUGGAGGUAUCAGAAGUGCGAAUGCUGACAUAAGUAACGAUAAAGCGGGUGAAAAGCCCGCUCGCCGGAAGACCAAGGGUUCCUGUCCAACGUUAAUCGGGGCAGGGUGAGUCGACCCCUAAGGCGAGGCCGAAAGGCGUAGUCGAUGGGAAACAGGUUAAUAUUCCUGUACUUGGUGUUACUGCGAAGGGGGGACGGAGAAGGCUAUGUUAGCCGGGCGACGGUUGUCCCGGUUUAAGCAUGUAGGCUGGUUAUCCAGGCAAAUCCGGAUAAUCAAGGCUGAGGUGUGAUGACGAGGCACUACGGUGCUGAAGUAACAAAUGCCCUGCUUCCAGGAAAAGCCUCUAAGCAUCAGGUAACAUCAAAUCGUACCCCAAACCGACACAGGUGGUCAGGUAGAGAAUACCAAGGCGCUUGAGAGAACUCGGGUGAAGGAACUAGGCAAAAUGGUGCCGUAACUUCGGGAGAAGGCACGCUGGUGUGUAGGUGAAGUCCCUGCGGAUGGAGCUGAGACCAGUCGAAGAUACCAGCUGGCUGCAACUGUUUAUUAAAAACACAGCACUGUGCAAACACGAAAGUGGACGUAUACGGUGUGACGCCUGCCCGGUGCCGGAAGGUUAAUUGAUGGGGUUAUCCGUAAGGAGAAGCUCUUGAUCGAAGCCCCGGUAAACGGCGGCCGUAACUAUAACGGUCCUAAGGUAGCGAAAUUCCUUGUCGGGUAAGUUCCGACCUGCACGAAUGGCGUAAUGAUGGCCAGGCUGUCUCCACCCGAGACUCAGUGAAAUUGAACUCGCUGUGAAGAUGCAGUGUACCCGCGGCAAGACGGAAAGACCCCGUGAACCUUUACUAUAGCUUGACACUGAACAUUGAGCCUUGAUGUGUAGGAUAGGUGGGAGGCUUUGAAGCGUGGACGCCAGUCUGCGUGGAGCCAACCUUGAAAUACCACCCUUUAAUGUUUGAUGUUCUAACGUUGGCCCCUGACCGGGGUUGCGGACAGUGUCUGGUGGGUAGUUUGACUGGGGCGGUCUCCUCCCAAAGCGUAACGGAGGAGCACGAAGGUUAGCUAAUCCUGGUCGGACAUCAGGAGGUUAGUGCAAUGGCAUAAGCUAGCUUGACUGCGAGCGUGACGGCGCGAGCAGGUGCGAAAGCAGGUCAUAGUGAUCCGGUGGUUCUGAAUGGAAGGGCCAUCGCUCAACGGAUAAAAGGUACUCCGGGGAUAACAGGCUGAUACCGCCCAAGAGUUCAUAUCGACGGCGGUGUUUGGCACCUCGAUGUCGGCUCAUCACAUCCUGGGGCUGAAGUAGGUCCCAAGGGUAUGGCUGUUCGCCAUUUAAAGUGGUACGCGAGCUGGGUUUAGAACGUCGUGAGACAGUUCGGUCCCUAUCUGCCGUGGGCGCUGGAGAAUUGAGGGGGGCUGCUCCUAGUACGAGAGGACCGGAGUGGACGCAUCACUGGUGUUCGGGUUGUCAUGCCAAUGGCACUGCCCGGUAGCUAAAUGCGGAAGAGAUAAGUGCUGAAAGCAUCUAAGCACGAAACUUGCCCCGAGAUGAGUUCUCCCUGAGACUUUAAGUCUCCUGAAGGAACGUUAAAGACGAUGACGUUGAUAGGCCCGGAGU
Molecule: ribosomal RNA, 2854 nt
Filed under: Klebsiella pneumoniae
Lineage: Bacteria; Pseudomonadati; Pseudomonadota; Gammaproteobacteria; Enterobacterales; Enterobacteriaceae
Description: bacterial LSU rRNA
Rfam family: Bacterial large subunit ribosomal RNA
Source: RNAcentral